This 207-nucleotide ribosomal RNA is filed under the name uncultured bacterium. RNAcentral describes it as "partial 16S ribosomal RNA". It matches the Rfam family "Bacterial small subunit ribosomal RNA", at positions 568 to 774 of the family's 1533-position model. The record is from RNAcentral.
CGCGUAGACGGCUGUCUAAGUCUGGAGUGAAAGUCCUGCUUUCAAGGUGGGAAUUGCUUUGGAGACUGGAUGGCUUGAGUGCGGAAGAGGUAAGUGGAAUUCCCAGUGUAGCGGUGAAAUGCGUAGAGAUUGGGAGGAACACCAGUGGCGAAGGCGACUUACUGGGCCGUAACUGACGUUGAUGCGCGAAAGCGUGGGGAGCGAACA